GAAAUGCGAUAAGUAAUGUGAAUUGCAGAAUUCAGUGAAUCAUCGAAUCUUUGAACGCACAUUGCGCCCUCUGGUAUUCCGGGGGGCAUGCCUGUUCGAGCGUCAUUAUAACCACUCAAGCUCUCGCUUGGUAUUGGGGUUCGCGGUUCCGCGGCCCCUAAAAUCAGUGGCGGUGCCUGUCGGCUCUACGCGUAGUAAUAUUCCUCGCGUCUGGGUCCGGUAGGUCUACUUGCCAGCAACCCCCAAUUUUUACAGGUUGACCUCGGAUCAGGUAGGGAUACCCGCUGAACUUAA
RNAcentral lists this unclassified non-coding RNA (294 nucleotides) under uncultured Volucrispora. RNAcentral's name for it is "sequence contains ITS1". The stretch from base 1 to 105 matches the Rfam family "5.8S ribosomal RNA", at positions 50 to 154 of the family's 154-position model. The record is from RNAcentral. Lineage: Eukaryota; Fungi; Ascomycota.